GGGACAUCUCCCCGUUCAUAAUUAAUAAGUGUCUGCCGCCGGCCAGCCCCUGUCCCAGUAGGGCAGGAGUGAGCUGGGUGUGCUACACAGCCACCUCUUUCGCCUUAAGAACAGAAGAAACACGUCGUUGAGGCAGCAAAAUGUCCCAUGUGAACUUGGAAAGAAAAUACAAGAUGCUUGGACGUAAGGGAAGACUGAAGAAUAUCCUCAAAGUACAUGGUGACCAGAGGGAGAAACAAACCUAAUGUCUACCAGGAACUCUUGGAAGCUCCCAGGCUGCUGAGGUGAUGGAUGACAUAAAUAUAUAUUUCUGCUUUUUUCCCCCCACUCUCCAUUGCUUACACCCAAGUCAGCUCUAGCCUGCUACUAGAAGAAUAUUGGAGACUCUU
Onychostruthus taczanowskii (white-rumped snowfinch) is the source of this 389-nucleotide long non-coding RNA. RefSeq lists it as uncharacterized. The transcript has 3 exons. The record is from RefSeq and is a predicted model, not a curated record. NCBI's taxonomy places the organism in Eukaryota, Metazoa, Chordata, Aves, Passeriformes, Passeridae.